RNAcentral lists this ribosomal RNA (484 nucleotides) under uncultured bacterium. RNAcentral's name for it is "partial 16S ribosomal RNA". It matches the Rfam family "Bacterial small subunit ribosomal RNA", at positions 28 to 507 of the family's 1533-position model. The record is from RNAcentral.
GUUGAACGCUGGCGGCAGGCCUAACACAUGCAAGUCGAGCGGAUGGAGGGGGCUUGCUCCUGUCUUCCGCGGCGGACGGGUGGGUAAUGACUAGGAAUCUGCCUGGUAGUGAGGGCUAACGUCCGGAAACGGGCGCGAAUACAGCAUCCGUCCUGAGGGAGAAAGUGAGGGAUCUUCGGACAUCACGCUAUCAGAUGACCCUAGGUCGGAUUAGCUAGUUGGUGGGGUAAAGGCUUACCAAGGCGACGAUCCGUAACUGGCCUGAGAGGAUGAUCAGCCACACUGGAACUGAGACACGGUCCAGACUCCUACGGGAGGCAGCAGUGGGGAAUCUUGGACAAUGGGCGAAAGCCUGACCGAGCCAUGCCGCGUGUGUGAAGAAGGUCUUCGGAUCGUAAAGCUCUGUUAGUUGGGAAGAACGGCUGUAUGUUAAUACCUUGAUGUUUUGACGGUACCAACAGAAUAAGCACCGGCUAACUUCGUG